AUACGGAAGGCAGCAGUGAGGAAUUUUGCGCAAUGGGCGAAAGCCUGACGCAGCGACGCCGCGUGACUGAUGAAGUCUUUCGGGAUGUAAAGGUCUUUUUUGGGGGAAGAAGGAUGUGACGGUACCCCAAGAAUAAGCCCCGGCUAACUACGUGCCAGCAGCCGCGGUAAUACGUAGGGGGCGAGCGUUGUCCGAAUUUACUGGGCGUAAAGCGCGCGUAGGCGGGCUAAUAAGUUGUGGGUGAAAUGCCGGGGCUCAACCUCGGCGCUGCCUGCAAGACUGUUGGUCUUGAGGUAUGGAGGGGAAAGUGGAAUUCCUGGUGUAGCGGUGAAAUGCGUAGAUAUCAGGAGGAACACCGAUGGCGAAGGCAGCUUUCUGGCCAUAUCCUGACGCUGAGGUGCGAAAGCUAGGGGAGCGAACGGGAUUAGAUACCCCGGUAGUCCC
This 444-nucleotide ribosomal RNA is filed under the name uncultured bacterium. RNAcentral describes it as "bacterial SSU rRNA". It matches the Rfam family "Bacterial small subunit ribosomal RNA", at positions 339 to 797 of the family's 1533-position model. The record is from RNAcentral.